Molecule: ribosomal RNA, 581 nt
Filed under: Rhynchogastrema tunnelae
Lineage: Eukaryota; Fungi; Basidiomycota; Tremellomycetes; Tremellales; Rhynchogastremaceae
Description: LSU rRNA
Rfam family: Eukaryotic large subunit ribosomal RNA
Source: RNAcentral
UAAGCGGAGGAAAAGAAACUAACAAGGAUUCCCCUAGUAACGGCGAGUGAACCGGGAAGAGCUCAAAUUUGAAAUCUGGCGUCCUUCGGGCGUCCGAGUUGUAAUCUAUAGAGGCGUUUUCCGUGCCGGACCGUGUCUAAGUCCCUUGGAACAGGGUAUCAAAGAGGGUGACAAUCCCGUACUUGACACGACGACCGGUGCUCUGUGAUACGUCUUCUACGAGUCGAGUUGUUUGGGAAUGCAGCUCAAAAUGGGUGGUGAGUUCCAUCUAAAGCUAAAUAUUGGCGAGAGACCGAUAGCGAACAAGUACCGUGAGGGAAAGAUGAAAAGCACUUUGGAAAGAGAGUUAAACAGUACGUGAAAUUGUUGAAAGGGAAACGAUUGAAGUCAGUCGUGACUGUUGGGCUCAGCCGGUUCUGCCGGUGUAUUCCCUUCAGUCGGGUCAACAUCAGUUUUAAUCGGUGGAUAAGGGCAGCAGGAACGUAGCACCUUCGGGUGUGUUAUAGCCUGUCGUCGCAUACAUCGGUCGAGACUGAGGAACGCAGCUCGCCUUUAUGGCCGGGGUUCGCCCACGUCCGAGC